CGCGGGGUGGAGCAGCUCGGUAGCUCGCUGGGCUCAUAACCAGAGGUCGCAGGUUCAAAUCCUGUCCCCGCUACCA
This 76-nucleotide transfer RNA is filed under the name Rhodococcus (subgen. Prescottella) equi. RNAcentral's name for it is "Rhodococcus hoagii tRNA-OTHER". It matches the Rfam family "tRNA". From Rfam's summary of the family: Transfer RNA (tRNA) molecules are approximately 80 nucleotides in length. Their secondary structure includes four short double-helical elements and three loops (D, anti-codon, and T loops). Lineage: Bacteria; Bacillati; Actinomycetota; Actinomycetes; Mycobacteriales; Nocardiaceae. The record is from RNAcentral.